Molecule: long non-coding RNA, 305 nt
Organism: Procambarus clarkii (red swamp crayfish)
Lineage: Eukaryota; Metazoa; Arthropoda; Malacostraca; Decapoda; Cambaridae
Source: RefSeq, a predicted model, not a curated record
AGAACAAUGAGUUCCAGACCUAUCGACGGCAGAGUAGAGCCGAGGGUGUUGGGGGCGGCAUCCAUCAGAGAAAUCCAAGAGUCUAGUGCAGGAGAUGUGUGGCAUGUGGGAGGAAGCAAGCAGGACGUAAGAGUGGACUUCCUUUUUCAGGCAGGAAUGAGGGAGACAAGAAACAUACUGAGAAAGAUUUCUUACUAAUCGAGCAGGAGUGAGACAUUAAGAGACGCACAUAAGGCCUCCAACUCUACCAGGAAUGUGGGAGAUCAGGUAUUAAAUAAAGAUUCAAAUUUGAUAUUUUUACUGAA